CCUACGGGUGGCAGCAGUGAGGAAUAUUGGUCAAUGGACGAGAGUCUGAACCAGCCAAGUAGCGUGAAGGAUGACUGCCCUAUGGGUUGUAAACUUCUUUUAUAUGGGAAUAAAACGUUCCACGUGUGGGAUUUUGUAUGUACCUUAUGAAUAAGGAUCGGCUAACUCCGUGCCAGCAGCCGCGGUAAUACGGAGGAUCCGAGCGUUAUCCGGAUUUAUUGGGUUUAAAGGGAGCGUAGGUGGAUUGUUAAGUCAGUUGUGAAAGUUUGCGGCUCAACCGUAAAAUUGCAGUUGAAACUGGCAGUCUUGAGUACAGUAGAGGUGGGCGGAAUUCGUGGUGUAGCGGUGAAAUGCUUAGAUAUCACGAAGAACUCCGAUUGCGAAGGCAGUUCACUGGACUGCAACUGACACUGAGGCUCGAAAGUGUGGGUAUCAAACAGGAUUAGAUACCCCAGUAGUC
Molecule: ribosomal RNA, 460 nt
Filed under: uncultured bacterium
Lineage: Bacteria
Description: partial 16S ribosomal RNA
Rfam family: Bacterial small subunit ribosomal RNA
Source: RNAcentral